This 465-nucleotide ribosomal RNA is filed under the name Vreelandella stevensii. RNAcentral's name for it is "partial 16S ribosomal RNA". It matches the Rfam family "Bacterial small subunit ribosomal RNA", at positions 338 to 795 of the family's 1533-position model. Lineage: Bacteria; Pseudomonadati; Pseudomonadota; Gammaproteobacteria; Oceanospirillales; Halomonadaceae. The record is from RNAcentral.
CCUACGGGUGGCUGCAGUGGGGAAUAUUGGACAAUGGGGGCAACCCUGAUCCAGCCAUGCCGCGUGUGUGAAGAAGGCCCUCGGGUUGUAAAGCACUUUCAGUGAGGAAGAACGCCUGGUGGUUAAUACCCAUCAGGAAAGACAUCACUCACAGAAGAAGCACCGGCUAACUCCGUGCCAGCAGCCGCGGUAAUACGGAGGGUGGGAGCGUUAAUCGGAAUUACUGGGCGUAAAGCGCGCGUAGGUGGCUUGAUAAGCCGGUUGUGAAAGCCCCGGGCUCAACCUGGGAACGGCAUCCGGAACUGUCAAGCUAGAGUGCAGGAGAGGAAGGUAGAAUUCCCGGUGUAGCGGUGAAAUGCGUAGAGAUCGGGAGGAAUACCAGUGGCGAAGGCGGCCUUCUGGACUGACACUGACACUGAGGUGCGAAAGCGUGGGUAGCAAACAGGAUUAGAUACCCUGGUAGUC